This 63-nucleotide transfer RNA is filed under the name Amynthas sp. 2 LZ-2016. RNAcentral's name for it is "tRNA-Phe". It matches the Rfam family "tRNA". From Rfam's summary of the family: Transfer RNA (tRNA) molecules are approximately 80 nucleotides in length. Their secondary structure includes four short double-helical elements and three loops (D, anti-codon, and T loops). Lineage: Eukaryota; Metazoa; Annelida; Clitellata; Crassiclitellata; Megascolecidae. The record is from RNAcentral.
AUUUAAGUAGCUUAAAUUUAAAGCACAUCUCUGAAGAAGAUAAGAUGAGUUCCUCCUUAAAUA